This 497-nucleotide ribosomal RNA is filed under the name uncultured bacterium. RNAcentral's name for it is "partial 16S ribosomal RNA". It matches the Rfam family "Bacterial small subunit ribosomal RNA", at positions 28 to 507 of the family's 1533-position model. The record is from RNAcentral.
GAUGAACGCUGGCGGCGUGCCUAAUACAUGCAAGUCGAGCGAACGGACGAGGAGCUUGCUCCUCUGACGUUAGCGGCGGACGGGUGAGUAACACGUGGAUAACCUACCUAUAAGACUGGGAUAACUUCGGGAAACCGGAGCUAAUACCGGAUAACAUGUUGAACCGCAUGGUUCAACAGUGAAAGACGGUUUUGCUGUCACUUAUAGAUGGAUCCGCGCCGCAUUAGCUAGUUGGUAAGGUAACGGCUUACCAAGGCAACGAUGCGUAGCCGACCUGAGAGGGUGAUCGGCCACACUGGAACUGAGACACGGUCCAGACUCCUACGGGAGGCAGCAGUAGGGAAUCUUCCGCAAUGGGCGAAAGCCUGACGGAGCAACGCCGCGUGAGUGAAGAAGGUCUUCGGAUCGUAAAACUCUGUUAUUAGGGAAGAACAAAUGUGUAAGUAACUAUGCACGUCUUGACGGUACCUAAUCAGAAAGCCACGGCUAACUACGUG